This 406-nucleotide ribosomal RNA is filed under the name Salmonella enterica subsp. enterica serovar Agona. RNAcentral describes it as "partial 23S ribosomal RNA". It matches the Rfam family "Bacterial large subunit ribosomal RNA", at positions 1139 to 1647 of the family's 2925-position model. Lineage: Bacteria; Pseudomonadati; Pseudomonadota; Gammaproteobacteria; Enterobacterales; Enterobacteriaceae. The record is from RNAcentral.
AGCUCACUGGUCUAAAUAAGGGUCUUUGCGCCUAAAAUGUAACGGGGCUAAAGCCAUACACCGAAGCUUUGGGUGCAUAGCAAUAUGCGCGGUAGCGGAGCGUUCUGUAGGCCUGUGAAGGGAGACCCGUGAGGGCUCCUGGAGGUAUCAGAAGUGCGAAUGCUGACAUGAGUAACGUAAGGAGUGUGAGAGACACUCCCGCCGAAAGACCAAGGGUUCCUGCUUAAAGUUAAUCUGAGCAGGGUUAGCCGGACCCUAAGGCGAGGCCGAAAGGCGUAGUCGAUGGGAAUCACGUUAAUAUUCGUGAGCCUGCAGGUAGUGACGGAUCAUCAAGGUAGUUCAUUCUUAUUGGAUUGAAUGGGCUGCUGCGUGGUUCCAGGAAAUAGCUCCUGCUUAUAGUCCGUAC